UACAGAGGGUGCAAGCGUUAAUCGGAAUUACUGGGCGUAAAGCGUGCGUAGACGGUUAUUUAAGUCAGGUGUGAAAGCCCCGGGCUCAACCUGGGAAUUGCAUUUGAGACUGAAUAGCUAGGGUGCGGAAGAGGGAAGCGGAAUUUCCGGGUGUAGCGGUGAAAUGCGUAGAUAUCGGAAGGAACACCAGUGGCGAAGGCGGUUCUCGUGGGCCUGUACUGACGCUGAGGAGCGAAAGCGUGGG
This 244-nucleotide ribosomal RNA is filed under the name uncultured bacterium. RNAcentral describes it as "partial 16S ribosomal RNA". It matches the Rfam family "Bacterial small subunit ribosomal RNA", at positions 524 to 765 of the family's 1533-position model. The record is from RNAcentral.